RNAcentral lists this ribosomal RNA (394 nucleotides) under uncultured bacterium. RNAcentral describes it as "partial 16S ribosomal RNA". It matches the Rfam family "Bacterial small subunit ribosomal RNA", at positions 338 to 729 of the family's 1533-position model. The record is from RNAcentral.
CCUACGGGAGGCAGCAGUGAGGAAUAUUGGUCAAUGGUCGCGAGCCUGAACCAGCCAAGCCGCGUGAAGGAUGAAGGUCCUGCGGGUCGUAAACCUCUUUUAUAAGGGAACAAAGGCAGGCACGUGUCCCCGGAUGAAUGUACCUUAUGAAAAAGGAUCGGCUAACUCCGUGCCAGCAGCCGCGGUAAUACGGAGGAUGCGAGCGUUAUCCGGAUUUAUUGGGUUUAAAGGGAGCGUAGACGGGUUGUUAAGUCAGUGGUGAAAGUCUGGGGCUCAACCGCAAGACGGCAGUUGAAACUGGCAGUCUUGAGUACGAGAGAUGUAGGCGGAAUGCGUGGUGUAGCGGUGAAAUGCUUAGAUAUCGCGCAGAACUCCGAUUGCGAAGGCAGCAUGC